AUUGAACGCUGGCGGAAUGCUUUACACAUGCAAGUCGAACGGCAGCACGGGAGCUUGCUCCUGGUGGCGAGUGGCGAACGGGUGAGUAACAUAUCGGAACGUACCCAGUCGUGGGGGGAUAACUCUCCGAAAGGAGAGCUAAUACCGCAUACGUCCUGAGGGAGAAAGCGGGGGGACCUGCAAGGGCCUCGCGCGAUUGGAGCGGCCGAUAUCGGAUUAGCUAGUUGGUGAGGUAAAGGCUCACCAAGGCGACGAUCCGUAGCGGGUCUGAGAGGACGACCCGCCACACUGGAACUGAGACACGGUCCAGACUCCUACGGGAGGCAGCAGUGGGGAAUUUUGGACAAUGGGGGCAACCCUGAUCCAGCCAUUCCGCGUGAGUGAAGAA
This 388-nucleotide ribosomal RNA is filed under the name uncultured bacterium. Its description in RNAcentral is "bacterial SSU rRNA". It matches the Rfam family "Bacterial small subunit ribosomal RNA", at positions 29 to 412 of the family's 1533-position model. The record is from RNAcentral.